RNAcentral lists this transfer RNA (88 nucleotides) under Ferrimonas lipolytica. RNAcentral describes it as "Ferrimonas sp. S7 tRNA-Ser". It matches the Rfam family "tRNA". Rfam says of the family: Transfer RNA (tRNA) molecules are approximately 80 nucleotides in length. Their secondary structure includes four short double-helical elements and three loops (D, anti-codon, and T loops). The record is from RNAcentral. Lineage: Bacteria; Pseudomonadati; Pseudomonadota; Gammaproteobacteria; Alteromonadales; Ferrimonadaceae.
GGUGAGCUGGCCGAGUGGCUGAAGGCGCGCCCCUGCUAAGGGCGUAUAUCGUAAGGUAUCCAGGGUUCGAAUCCCUGGCUCACCGCCA